GGUCGGAAAUAGAGAAUGGAGAAACUGAGGAAGCUGUCGCCUUUCAGACUCGACUCUCUUCUCCGUCUCCAAAAGGAUCCCAAACUCGCCCUCCAAAUCUUCCUAAACCCUAACGAGAGAUCUGUUCCUAACCCUAAACCCUUCCGUUACUCUCUUCGCUCCUACGACAUCAUCAUCACCAAGCUCGGCGGAGCCAAGAUGUUCGACGAAAUGGAACGAGUGGUCCAAAAGUUGAAGCAGGAGACCCGCUUUGUUCCCAAGGAAAUCAUCUUCUGUAACGUCAUCACCUUUUACGGCCGUGCUCGCUUGCCCAACCUAGCUCUCCGGACGUUUGAUCAAAUGCCGUCUUUUGGGUGCCAGAGAACCGUGAAAUCCGUGAAUACCCUCUUGAAUGCGCUCUUAGCUUGCCGGGAAUUUGAGAAAAUGGGAGAAGUUUUUGUGGGUAUUGAGGAACAUGCGGCCCCGGAUGCUUGCACUUAUAAUAUAUUGAUUAAUGCUUGCUGCCGGUGUAAUGAUCUGGGCGGUGCUUGGAAUGUGUUCGAUGAAAUGCUAAAGAAGAGAAUUCGGCCAAAUGUGGUGACAUUUGGGACCUUGAUUAAUGGACUGUGUGUGAAUUUCAAAUUAAGUGAAGCUUUAAGGUUGAAAGAAGAUAUGGAGAGAGUUUUUAGAGUAAAGCCCAAUGGUUUUGUUUAUUCUUCAUUGAUUAAAGGGCUUUGUAAGGCGGAUGAAUUGAAUUUGGCUUUUAAGGUUAAGGAUGAAAUGUUGAAACGUAGACUGGAGUUCGAUUUGUCAGUUUAUCCUUCCUUAAUUAGUGCACUGUUUAAGGUUGGUCGCAAAGGAGAUGUCAAUGGACUUCUGGAGGAAAUAAAACAAAAUGGUUGCAAGCCUGAUAUCAUGACUUAUAAUGCAAUGAUAUAUGGAUUUUGCCAAGAUGAAAAUUUUGAUGCUGCAUUUGGUAUUUUAAGCGAGAUGGAAAACAAGGGAUGUAAGCCUGAUAUUAUUAGUUACAAUGUCAUUAUUGGUGGGCUUUGCAGGGUGAGAAAUUUGACAGAAGCAAAUGAUUUAUUUGAAGAUAUGCCAAGGAGGAAAUGUGCCCCUGAUGUAGUAACGUAUCGGAUACUAUUUGAUGGGCUUCAUGAUGGGAUGCAGCUCAAGGAAGCAUCACUUAUUUUGGAUGAGAUGAUUUUCAAAGGUUAUUCACCUCAUGCUGCAAGUGUGAUGCGUUUUGUUGAUAGGGUUUGCCAGGGUGAUAAUUUAAAAUUGAUGCGGACAGUUCUGAACAGUUUGGGAAGUGGAAAUUUAAUUGAUGCAGACACAUGGAGAAUGGUUGUUCCCGUGGUGUGCAAAAUUGACAGGCUUUCAAUUGCCUACAAGCUUGUAGAUACCUUGGUGAUUCAAUAAAGUGAUGCCUUGGCCUCUUCGUUCCAAGAGAUUUAGACUGGGACCAUCAAGCGAUCCUGCUAGAUUUGGAUGGAACACACUCUUCCUGUGAGAAGUCAGAUAUUCAUUUGUGUGGUGGAGAUUGGACAUUUAGGGGGAAUAGACGUCUCCGACAGUCCAAUUCAAAUGUGUAGUAUUUACAAGGUAGUUUUGCUAAUUUGUUUACAAUAGUCAAGCUAGAAGGAAAAUCAUUAUGGCAGGCUCAUCUCAAUGCACAUUCCAAUUCCACUCAUAAUACAGCUUCAUGUCAAUCCUGGAAUAUUCUCCUAAAUUGCAGUGUCAAUGUUAAAAUUUUCCCUUUCAGAUUAAUAAGCCAACUUUCAUGUAUGAAUGGUACUGAAGGGGACUGCAAUGUCUGUGGUUGAUGAGUCAACUAGUGGCAGAAUUUCUGUGAAGAUGAUUUAGUGCUUCAAGUUUGUCAUUUUGGAAAACGGUUCUGAGCCAGAAGGAUUGGGUCAGUCACUAGGUAACUGAUCAACACAGUGAAGCUAAAGGCAGCAGAGAAAUGAAUUUUUUAUCUACUUGAACAUAAUGAAGGUUGCCAUGCCAGAAGAAAGAAGCUGUUGAGAUACUAAGAAUUACCAUCUUAUGUCUUCAGACAAAUUUCUUGAGAAGGCUACCUGCAUUAACGGAGGUAAGGGUAUUUAUUGAUGAUGGAGUUGGAACCCAUCAAUCCCCGUCGUUUCAUGGUGUGUCCCACCCUGGUGAAGCCAAUCCUUGUUUCGACUUGUGCUCUGAAUAACUUUAUGUAAGGUCCCAGAUAAUGGCAUUAAGGCAUAUAUGUAUGGUGUAUUUCUAAUGCCUUUUGCCAUUGAAGUUGUUGUGGGAGUGUUGAAGUGGACCUCUUUUGUGGUGGAGCCACAAAAUUAGAUUUGUUUAUGCCUUGGGAAUCAUUUGCAUAUGUUUCAGAUUUAUAUCUCAAUUCUGUGAGCUGUGAUAGGUUUUAAUUGGAUUGAAGUAAUCUAUUUAAUCACUGCCCCAGAGUCUUCGGUGUGGAUUUUGGUCAUCCAUGUUCUGAGCAGGAUGAUGAAAAAUAAUGUAUGAUGCAACUGGUUCAUUACUAGAACAUUCUGCUUCUUGCGUUUUGCUAACUUUUUGCAUAAUUGUGAAGAGAAUACAGCAUUCUGAUAGGAAAAUAGCUCCAGAAACUCAUUGGUGUCUUGAAUUAGUUGAUGAUGAUUGAAAAUUCUCCAGAAAACAGUGCACAGAAACAGCAGAGAAGAAAAACUUGUGGAAAUUAAGACAAGGAGUUAGGUUCUAGCUGUUCUUUUCAAGUGCAACUGUAGAGCUUUUUAGUGUUUCAAGUGAUAAGCAACAGGAUACUAACUUAGGCCGAAAGUUUGGUAAGCCUUUUCUGUUUCAUUUGUUAAUUAAAACAUUCAGCUAUUUGUUGUUAAAAGCGGAUAAAUCCACUCGGGAAUUUGUAAUUUAAUUUGUGAUAUGGUGGAUGUCUACAGAGGGUCAAUGGACGGCAACAUAUGCCGGCCGGCUGAACAUAACUGGGUCAGCAGUCUGGUCUGCGCCGUCGCUGGAAGCAAGGAAGCUCUUGGCAAUGGAGAACUCGAAGAAGGUGCCCUCAAUGGAGGACACUGCAGCUUUGAUCUUCACUGCCCUUUCAACUGUCGAAGCUCAGAACUCAAUGGCCGUUGAUCCAGUUCAGAGGCUCUCUGCUCCGUCUACCGAUCGCACCGACCGGGUUUUGCAGUCGGUUCCCAGCCCGGGAAUCGGCCAUUAGAGCCGCCGCCUUGCUCCUGGCGUUCGCUCAUUCUCAGAGCGCUAUAUAUUGGUCUAUGUAGUUAUAUAUAAUAUAUAUAAUACUUGCUUAAAGCUGAUGAAUACGGAGUUGUAUUGGUUAACUGAACAAUAUGAAGGCGCCUAGCCUUCAUGCCACUUCAAACUUACGUUUGAGGUUCAGUUAAGUCAUUCCUAUAACACAAGUUGAAAUUAUAUUGCAGUUAUUCUAUCAAUAUAUUCAUCAAUGAAAACAAUGAAAAUGAUCCAUUUGUGGGCAUUUUUUUAUCGCAA
Diospyros lotus (date-plum) is the source of this 3465-nucleotide RNA transcript. It is a transcript of the gene named putative pentatricopeptide repeat-containing protein At1g53330, with no coding region annotated. The record is from RefSeq and is a predicted model, not a curated record. NCBI's taxonomy places the organism in Eukaryota, Viridiplantae, Streptophyta, Magnoliopsida, Ericales, Ebenaceae. The transcript is spliced from 3 exons.